CCUACGGGUGGCAGCAGUGAGGAAUAUUGGUCAAUGGACGAGAGUCUGAACCAGCCAAGUAGCGUGAAGGAUGACUGCCCUAUGGGUUGUAAACUUCUUUUAUAAAGGAAUAAAACGAGGCACGUGUGCCUUUUUGCAUGUACUUUAUGAAUAAGGAUCGGCUAACUCCGUGCCAGCAGCCGCGGUAAUACGGAGGAUCCGAGCGUUAUCCGGAUUUAUUGGGUUUAAAGGGAGCGUAGAUGGGUUGUUAAGUCAGUUGUGAAAGUUUGCGGCUCAACCGUGAAAUUGCAAUUGAUACUGGCAGGCUGGAGUAUGGUUGAGGUAGGCGGAAUUCGUGGUGUAGCGGUGAAAUGCUUAGAUAUCACGAAGAACCCCGAUUGCGAAGGCAGCUUACUAAACUGUAACUGACAUUGAUGCUCGAAAGUGUGGGUAUCGAACAGGAUUAGAUACCCCUGUAGUC
Molecule: ribosomal RNA, 460 nt
Filed under: uncultured bacterium
Lineage: Bacteria
Description: partial 16S ribosomal RNA
Rfam family: Bacterial small subunit ribosomal RNA
Source: RNAcentral